GUCUGUUCGUUAUGGAAAAGCUUUCUCAGAGCAUGUCUACUCCUAUCUUCUGUACAGUUAUGGCAAAAGAGAUGCAGUGUAGAAUGGGAAGAAGGGGAGACAGCAGAAUUUUAAAUUGUUUCUGGGAAUAAGACUGUUUUCAAAUGCAGGUCAGCACUGUGGAUUGAGAGAAGAACAUUCUUCUCUCCAGGAAUGUCCCAGGCAGAACUUGCCACUCCUGAGUGAGCACCAGUGCAAGUAUCUCCUGGAUAAGGGCAGUGUUGGUUCAUGAUCUGACAUGACUUACAAAUGUCAAUCUUUCUGAGGUUAAUUGUUUCCGUUCUGUGAGCUGAGGGGUUUCUGUAAAGCAGGCUGUGACUGUGGCAAUUUGGAGGCUCUGGUACUGGCAAGCUCACCUUUGGGCAUGGCAGCAGACUUUCUGUGAGACCCAGUGAGUAGCUCUUAGUUACCUGCACGUGUUAAACUGAGCUGCUGAGGUGGGGCAGGCGGUCAUGAAGGUGAAGCUCAGCCUGUCCCAAAGGAACAUUUCUGUGCUCCCAGAAGGUCCCUGUGCAGUUCCUAGCAGUGCAUUCCUGAGGUCACAGUGCCUGCUCACAGCUCGCCGCUGCUGCCUGUGCUUGUUGUUGUGCAG
Molecule: long non-coding RNA, 631 nt
Organism: Tympanuchus pallidicinctus (lesser prairie-chicken)
Lineage: Eukaryota; Metazoa; Chordata; Aves; Galliformes; Phasianidae
Exons: 3
Source: RefSeq, a predicted model, not a curated record